RNAcentral lists this ribosomal RNA (301 nucleotides) under uncultured bacterium. RNAcentral's name for it is "partial 16S ribosomal RNA". It matches the Rfam family "Bacterial small subunit ribosomal RNA", at positions 509 to 809 of the family's 1533-position model. The record is from RNAcentral.
CAGUCGCCGCGGGAAUACAGAGGGUGCGAGCGUUAAUCGGAUUUACUGGGCGUAAAGCGUGCGUAGGCGGCUUCUUAAGUCGGAUGUGAAAUCCCUGAGCUUAACUUAGGAAUUGCAUUAGAUACUGGGAAGCUAGAGUAUGGGAGAGGAUGGUAGAAUUCCAGGUGUAGCGGUGAAAUGCGUAGAGAUCUGGAGGAAUACCGAUGGCGAAGGCAGCCAUCUGGCCUAAUACUGACGCUGAGGUACGAAAGCAUGGGGAGCAAACAGGAUUAGAUACCCCUGUAGUCCCUGUCUCUUAUAA